This 1546-nucleotide long non-coding RNA is filed under the name Androctonus crassicauda. The record is from RNAcentral. Lineage: Eukaryota; Metazoa; Arthropoda; Arachnida; Scorpiones; Buthidae.
GUUCUAUUAAAAUUCAUUACGUAUUACCUUAAAACUAUCUGAAUAUUUAAAUAUUGUGUAAUCUUAUGACAUCCCACAAUUUAUUUAAAAAACAGAAUUUUUACAAAUUUUCAAAAUGUACUAAGAGAUUGCUUGAAUUUUAAUAUUUCUCUUCAGUCUCUUAAGAAUAAUCCACAUUGUAAUGUGCAUCAACCAUUGAAAAAUGGCGGAGGUUCAAACUCCAGAGGUUUCAACCUAUUAACUUUUCAACUAUUUGUUAGUAUUCUAUAAAAUAUGGAAGGACGAUCAGGAUAUUAAACUGGAGUUUGGAACAAGGUUAAUUAACCUUGCAGAUUUUUUCGGUUAAAAUUGGCCAAUAUUCAAUCUUACAAGGUUCCUCUGUAGUAACUAUACAGCAAUUUAAUUGAUUCUUCUGUGGAACUUUGGAACGUUGCGGAAACAGUACGAUAUCAGAAUUUUCUGACAUCAGUUUAAUAUUGGCAUGCAAUACUAAACAAACAAGUCUGACCUUAUGAGCUGUAUGGGGUUUUUACUUAAGGACGGGAGAAUGAACUCUGCAUGGCACUUAUGACUCAGAGACUAGUGUAUGAUAACCAGAACUCCAUUUUUAUUGCGAGAGAUUCCUUUUAUGUAUAUAAAUGUUGUGCCAUUAGACUUAAUGUCCCUGUGAUGGGAGGAUAAAUACAUUGUUGCUGUGGUUAUCAGAAGAGAUCACCAGAUUGUCUUGACUGUGUUGGAAAAACACAUGACGGUCCUUAUUUAUCAGUGUUUAGUUUGCACAACACAGAACAACAGAAUGCUCAUCAAAGAAUUAUCACACAACAACUGACCUGUUAAUAGUUUUGGAGUCUUUCGGUUUGAGAUGAGUAUAAUUCACUUUCGGAUAUCGUUGAAUGAUUGGUUGAUGAGUGGGGCCACCAACGACUAACCUUCGUUGAGAUCAGACUCCUCAUAUUUCUUCUCUCCCCUUCUCUUUCUCUCUUCUAUAGACCAAAGUAUAUAUAUUCGUGCAUUCAGUAUGCGGAUAACCGAUUUCUUAUGGUUAGGGGCAUAUUUAAUCGGGAAACUAAUGAAUGUCCUGCGUUGAUCUGACUUUUCUUUUGUCUAAUUUAGUAUCGAUGGAAAACUUGAAUAAAGUUUUACUUCCUUUGACAGAGUUUUAUUUCAUUAUCGAUAGGGAAAUAAAACUUUUUAACAGAAUUAUAACCUUAAUAGGUAAAAAUCUUGGUCCAUUCGGAUCAUAUAUAGCACAGACACAGAGGUCGGAAACGGGGUCAGAUUCUUACACUUAUAAUAAACAAUAUAAUGUACCAUUGACGAUGAUUUUUGAUAACAUGUUUUAAAUUUGAAUCUUCAUAUAAUAAUUUUUGUUUAAUAUCUUCUGUUUUAGAUAGGAAUGACUACAUUAUUUGUAAUAUUAAGCGUUUUUACGAUUUCUGCCUAAUAAUUUUUAAAACUUGCUGCUUGACUUAUCUAUAGUCGACAUUUGAUGUUAUCAGAAUAUUUUAAGUUAAUUUACCUUUAAAAACUAAAUACCAAGUGAAAG